GGAGAUAGAAAGUAAAGUUGAGGCUAAAUAGGAAAUACCAUAAGGGAAAGAUGAAAGAAAAAUUGAAAGCACUAUACAGCAAAGAUUACCCCUUGUACCUUUUGCAUAAUGAAUUAUCUAGAAUAACCUAACAAAGAGAACUUAAGCUAGGCUCCCCAAAACCAGAUGAGCUGCCUAUGAACAAUCCUUACAAGAUGAACUCAGCUAUGUUGCAAAAUAGUGAGAAGAUUUGUAGGUAGAAGUGAAAAGCCUAACAGGCCUGGUGAUAGCUGGUUACCCAGAACAGAAUUUUAGUUCAACUUUAAUUUUUUUUAACGUUUAUUUUUGAAGGGGAGAGAGUGGGGGAGGGGCAGAGAGAGAGGGAGACACAGAAUCCGAAACAGGCUGCAGGCUCUGAGCCAUCAGCACAGAGUCCGAUGCGGGGCUUGAACCCAAAAACUGUGAGAUCAUGACCUGGGCUGAAGUCGGACACUUAACCAACUGAGCCACCCAGGCGCCCCUGGUUCAACUUUAAACUUACCUAAAAACACCAAAAAUUCUUUUUUUCUUAAAUUUUUUAACAUUUAUUCAAUCUUAGAGACAGAGAGAGACAGAGUGUGAGUGGGGGAGGGGCAGAGAGAGAGAGGGAGACACUCUGAAGCAGGCUUCAGGCUCUAAACUGUCAGCACAGAGCCCGAUGUGGGGCUCGAACUCACAGACCAUGAGAUCAUGACCCGAGCUGAAGUCAGACACUUAACCGGCUGAGCCACCCAGGUGCCCCAAAACCCCAAAAAUUCUAAUGUAAGUUUAAAAUAUAAUCUUAAAAGGUACAGCUUUUUAGAACUAGGAUACAACCAUUUUUAGAGAGUAAGCAUAAACAUAACCAUAGUUGGUUUAAAAGCAGCCAUCAAUUAAGAAAGCAUUCAAGCUCAAUAAUUAAAACAUCUUAAUAUCAAAAAUAUGCAAUCAACUCCUAACUCAAUACUGGGUUAAUCUAUCUAGCAAUAGAAGCAAUAAUGCUAAUAUGAGUAACAAGAAAUAUUUCCCCUGAUCCUUAUGCCAGAGCAGAUAACCACUGGUAGCUAACAACAAGAUAAAAAUAAUCUAGCCUAUAAACUAAACAUCAAACCAAUUGUUGAUCCAACACAGGCAUGCAACCAAGGAAAGAUUAAAAGAAGUAAGGAACCUGGCAAACAUAAACCCUGCCUGUUUACUAAAAACAUCACCUCUAGCACUUCUAGUAUUAGAGGCACUGCCUGCCCAGUGACAUUCAUUAAAUGGCUGCAGUAUCCUGACUGUACAAAGGUAUCAUAAUCACUUGUGCCCUAAAUAGGGACUUGUAUGAACAGCCACACGAGGGUUUUACUCUCUUACUUCCAAUCCGUGAAAUUGACUUCCUGUGAAGAGGCGGAAAUACAACAAUAAGACGAGAAGACCCUAUGGAGCUUUAAUUAACCGACCCAAAGAGACCAUAUGAACCAACCGACAGGAACAACAAACCUCUAUAUGGGCCGGCAAUUUAGGUUGGGGUGACCUCGGAGAAUAAAACAACCUCCGAGUGAUUUAAAUCUAGACUAACCAGUCGAAAGUAUCACAUCACUUAUUGAUCCAAAAACCUUGAUCAACGGAACAAGUUACCCUAGGGAUAACAGCGCAAUCCUAUUUCAGAGUCCAUAUCGACAAUAGGGUUUACGACCUCGAUGUUGGAUCAGGACAUCCCGAUGGUGCAGCAGCUAUCAAAGGUUCGUUUGUUCAACGAUUAAAGUCCUACGUGAUCUGAGUUCAGACCGGAGUAAUCCAGGUCGGUUUCUAUCUAUUUAAUAACUUCUCCCA
Molecule: ribosomal RNA, 1812 nt
Organism: Felis catus (domestic cat)
Lineage: Eukaryota; Metazoa; Chordata; Mammalia; Carnivora; Felidae
Rfam family: Bacterial large subunit ribosomal RNA
Source: Rfam